UCCAAACAGCUUGACGGUCCUCUGUCC
This 27-nucleotide non-coding RNA is filed under the name Mus musculus (house mouse). Lineage: Eukaryota; Metazoa; Chordata; Mammalia; Rodentia; Muridae. The record is from RNAcentral.